UACGUAGGUCCCGAGCGUUGUCCGGAAUUAUUGGGCGUAAAGCGAGCGCAGGUGGUUUAUUAAGUCUGGUGUAAAAGGCAGUGGCUCAACCAUUGUAUGCAUUGGAAACUGGUAGACUUGAGUGCAGGAGAGGAGAGUGGAAUUCCAUGUGUAGCGGUGAAAUGCGUAGAUAUAUGGAGGAACACCGGUGGCGAAAGCGGCUCUCUGGCCUGUAACUGACACUGAGGCUCGAAAGCGUGGGGAGCAAACAGG
Molecule: ribosomal RNA, 252 nt
Filed under: uncultured bacterium
Lineage: Bacteria
Description: partial 16S ribosomal RNA
Rfam family: Bacterial small subunit ribosomal RNA
Source: RNAcentral